RNAcentral lists this ribosomal RNA (459 nucleotides) under uncultured bacterium. RNAcentral describes it as "partial 16S ribosomal RNA". It matches the Rfam family "Bacterial small subunit ribosomal RNA", at positions 338 to 795 of the family's 1533-position model. The record is from RNAcentral.
CCUACGGGCGGCAGCAGUGAGGAAUAUUGGUCAAUGGGCGCGAGCCUGAACCAGCCAAGCCGCGUGCGGGAAGAAGGUACUGUGUAUUGUAAACCUCUUUUGUCCGGGAGUAAAGGCGGGGACGUGUCUCCGGUUGAGGGUAUCGUACGAAAAAGGAUCGGCUAACUCCGUGCCAGCAGCCGCGGUAAUACGGAGGAUGCGAGCGUUAUCCGGAUUUAUUGGGUUUAAAGGGUGCGAAGGCGGUUUUUUAAGUUAGCGGUAAAAGCCCGGGGCUCAACCCCGGCGAGCCGUUAAAACUGGCGGACUAGAGUUGGAGAGAGGUAGGCGGAAUGCGCGGUGUAGCGGUGAAAUGCUUAGAUAUCGCACAGAACCCCGAUUGCGAAGGCAGCGUACCAGCUCCACACUGACGCUGAGGCACGAAAGCGUGGGUAUCGAACAGGAUUAGAUACCCGAGUAGUC